AUUCAAAUAUUACUUUAAAUCUUUUAUCAUGUAAUUGGCUUAUACUUAGCUAGUUAUAUUUUAGACUAUCAACUAACAAUACAUUUUCAAUAAAAAUGGAGAGAGUGAUUUUAAUUUUAUCAAUUUCAAUAAUUUUCUCUUUAUCAUUGUCGCCAAAGAUUACCACUCCUCUGUGCUUUCUUUCAGGGGUGAUGAAUUGAUCCUUAUCAUCCGUCAUAUGUCUUGAACAGUCACUAUCCAAAAAUCAUGUUCUCUUGCUCUCAUUGGCUGCAAUAUAUUCUUACAAAAUAAUCAAGUAUAUAAUUUAGGUACCCAAGUUUUCUUGGGUCUUUUAGGAUUAUUAAUUGAGGUUCCUUUUGGAACUUAGAUUUUCUUCACUAUUUUACCAUCAGAUUUAAUAAGAUUGCCUGCAUAGGUUUUAUAUUCUAUUCUACUAUUAGAUUUAUGUAUAUUUUAAGCAUGCAGAUUUCAAAACUCUUUUGAAAUCAAAAUAGCAGAAGACUAGAUUAAUAAUUAAUCUACACAUGCAUACAUCUACAGAUCUAGUUCAUAUGGUGAAAAUAAAGCAUACAUACAUCUGAUUUUAAGAACAAAAUUAAAUCGAUAAUCAGAUCACCUACCUGAAUUGCUGAUUCCUUCUUCUAGAUCGGAUCAGAAGAUGUCACAAGUUCUUUUGAAGCCGCACAUGCAUCUACCCUCUACAGAUAUCCACUUGGGAUCGAUCUGGAUCACUCCUCCUUCAGCA
RNAcentral lists this long non-coding RNA (745 nucleotides) under Elaeis guineensis (African oil palm). RNAcentral's name for it is "long non-coding RNA (EGUI_LNC037747)". The record is from RNAcentral. Lineage: Eukaryota; Viridiplantae; Streptophyta; Magnoliopsida; Arecales; Arecaceae.